Ipomoea triloba (trilobed morning glory) is the source of this 624-nucleotide long non-coding RNA. RefSeq lists it as uncharacterized. The transcript is spliced from 3 exons. Lineage: Eukaryota; Viridiplantae; Streptophyta; Magnoliopsida; Solanales; Convolvulaceae. The record is from RefSeq and is a predicted model, not a curated record.
GGGUUCUGCAAAUUGAAAAGAUUGGUAAUUGAAGAUACAUAUUUGGAACGUUGGAAUGCUGUGGGUGACAAUUUCCCUGUGCUAGAAUGUUUAGAGUUACGUAAUUGCUAUUGUUUGCCAGAGAUUCCUAGUGGUUUUGUGCAUAUCACCACACUAGCACUGAUUUGGUUAAACUGUUGUUGGGAUUCCGUUCUGACUUCGGCAAAGUUGAUUCAAGAAGAGCAAUACAACAACUAUGGAAAUGCUCUCCGUGUUCGUUCAGAACGUAUUUGGGAAGAUAAGAUGAGGAGGAAGAGGGUGAUCAAUGAAUGAAUGACUGCAUAUAUAAUGGGUUUUGCAUUUGCUUAUUGUGGAUUAGGCAGUUGGGGCAGCUUGAGAAGAAAAUUAUCAAAGAUCUAAAUCUUGAGCGUAUUCUGGGUAGCGAUAUCCCAUGGACAACUAGUUUUCUUCCAAAUCUUAAGAAGGUCAACUUCAUUGAUACUUAUCGUUUGCCAUGGAGUGAUAUGAGGAGGUGCUUCUGCAGCUGAAUCCCAGAUCUCCAAAAAUCAAGUUCAGAGGCACAAAUGAGAGGUGUUGGAUGUUUUGGUGAUCUGAAAUGGUUUGUGUUUCUGGGUUGAAGUUGCU